RNAcentral lists this ribosomal RNA (440 nucleotides) under uncultured bacterium. RNAcentral describes it as "partial 16S ribosomal RNA". It matches the Rfam family "Bacterial small subunit ribosomal RNA", at positions 338 to 795 of the family's 1533-position model. The record is from RNAcentral.
CCUACGGGAGGCAGCAGUAGGGAAUAUUGCUCAAUGGGGGAAACCCUGAAGCAGCAACGCCGCGUGGAGGAUGAAGGUUUUCGGAUUGUAAACUCCUUUUGUUAGAGAAGAUAAUGACGGUAUCUAACGAAUAAGCACCGGCUAACUCCGUGCCAGCAGCCGCGGUAAUACGAAGGGUGCAAGCGUUACUCGGAAUCACUGGGCGUAAAGAGCGCGUAGGCGGGAUAGCAAGUCAGAUGUGAAAUCCUAUGGCUUAACCAUAGAACUGCAUUUGAAACUGUUAUUCUAGAGUAUGGGAGAGGUAGGUGGAAUUCUUGGUGUAGGGGUAAAAUGCGUAGAGAUCAAGAGGAAUACUCAUGGCGAAGGCGACCUGCUAGAACAUAACUGACGCUGAUGCGCGAAAGCGUGGGGAGCAAACAGGAUUAGAUACCCCUGUAGUC